GCGGGUUUACGAUGGAUUUUCUUAUGUUAUGUCAGAACUUAUGUUAUGUUGAAAGAGCUUAUGUUAUGUCGGUUUUGAAGGGGGUGUUUACGGUGGUUACGUUAUGUCUGCAAGGAACCUUAUGUGAAAUGUACCUAAAAGCAUAAAACUAUAUUUUUGGGGGAGUUAAAACCAUUGCGAGAAAUUUAAAAUUAAUUUUUGCUGUCAAUUCUUUGUAUGACAGCUUCAAAUUUAAAUUGUCCGAAUCCAUAAUUUACUUUGUAGGUUAGGUUUCCACUGCUUCGCGCGCGUUCUCGCGUUUCUCAUUGGUUCCCGCGUCACGUGACCCUUAUGUUAUGUCGAAGUAGAACAUAAGUCAACUCGAUAGUUGACUUAUGUUGCAAGGAGUUAUGUCGCAACAUAACAUAACGAUCAACAUAGCAUCGUAAACGGUCCCAUAAGAGACAAGCAAAGUUGACUUUUCGACAUAACAUAAGGGUACGACAUAGCAUAAGAAAAUCCAUCGUAAACCCGCCAUGAGGUGAAAUCUAAAUAUCUGUUAUCAUUUAUCACGACCAGAAAGCAGACAAAAUAAAAAUUAGAUGGGUAAUAAUGAAAACGUGCAAAGAUUUCUACUCCAGCUAAGAAGCAGCCUGCUGACACUGGAGGUCGGCAGUAGAUCUCAGCUGAUCGUAGAUUGAUAAGAGACGGACUAGCAGACAGCACAGCAGACGUCUUGGCGCGGAGCGAGGAUUCGCUUCGGCACGGAGGCGGAGGCAGCAAGGAAAUGACUUGGAAAUGAUUUUCUGUCUCAAAAUGUACUGUGCUCCUGUAAGCCAACUGAAGUAUUUAAUUUGUGUUGAGUCUCAACAUGAGAUGCUAGAAUAUGAUUGAAUUAAAGGGCGAAGGAAAAGAGACAUGA
Molecule: long non-coding RNA, 901 nt
Organism: Frankliniella occidentalis (western flower thrips)
Lineage: Eukaryota; Metazoa; Arthropoda; Insecta; Thysanoptera; Thripidae
Exons: 2
Source: RefSeq, a predicted model, not a curated record